AGCUGAUCACUGGGUUUAAAGAGUGCGCAGGCGGUUUUGUAAGACAGAGGUGAAAUCCCCGGGCUCAACCUGGGAACUGCCUUUGUGACUGCAAGGCUGGAGUGCGGCAGAGGGGGAUGGAAUUCCGCGUGUAGCAGUGAAAUGCGUAGAUAUGCGGAGGAACACCGAUGGCGAAGGCAAUCCCCUGGGCCUGCACUGACGCUCAUGCACGAAAGCGUGGGGAGCAAACA
RNAcentral lists this ribosomal RNA (230 nucleotides) under uncultured Alicycliphilus sp. RNAcentral describes it as "partial 16S ribosomal RNA". It matches the Rfam family "Bacterial small subunit ribosomal RNA", at positions 550 to 774 of the family's 1533-position model. The record is from RNAcentral. Lineage: Bacteria; Pseudomonadati; Pseudomonadota; Betaproteobacteria; Burkholderiales; Comamonadaceae.